CACGUAGGGGGCAAGCGUUGUCCGGAAUCAUUGGGCGUAAAGAGCUCGUAGGCGGCUCGGUAAGUCGGGUGUGAAACCCCCAGGCUCAACCUGGGGACGCCACCCGAUACUGCUGUGGCUAGAGUCCAGUAGGGGAGUGUGGAAUUCCGAGUGUAGAGGUGAAAUUCGUAGAUAUUCGGAGGAACACCAGUGGCGAAGGCGGCUCACUGGUCCAUUACUGACGCUGAGGUGCGAAAGCGUGGGGAGCAAACAGG
RNAcentral lists this ribosomal RNA (254 nucleotides) under uncultured bacterium. Its description in RNAcentral is "partial 16S ribosomal RNA". It matches the Rfam family "Bacterial small subunit ribosomal RNA", at positions 524 to 776 of the family's 1533-position model. The record is from RNAcentral.